UAAGGCCGAGAGCUGAUGACGAGUUACCCUUUGGGUGACGAAGUGGUUGAUGCCAUGCUUCCAAGAAAAGCUUCUAAGCUUCAGGUAACCAGGAACCGUACCCCAAACCGACACAGGUGGUUGGGUAGAGAAUACCAAGGCGCUUGAGAGAACUCGGGUGAAGGAACUAGGCAAAAUGGCACCGUAACUUCGGGAGAAGGUGCGCCGGUGAGGGUGAAGCACUUGCUGCGUAAGCCCACGCCGGUCGAAGAUACCAGGCCGCUGCGACUGUUUAUUAAAAACACAGCACUCUGCAAACACGAAAGUGGACGUAUAGGGUGUGACGCCUGCCCGGUGCCGGAAGGUUAAUUGAUGGGGUUAGCUAACGCGAAGCUCUUGAUCGAAGCCCCGGUAAACGGCGGCCGUAACUAUAACGGUCCUAAGGUAGCGAAAUUCCUUGUCGGGUAAGUUCCGACCUGCACGAAUGGCGUAACGAUGGCGGCGCUGUCUCCACCCGAGACUCAGUGAAAUUGAAAUCGCUGUGAAGAUGCAGUGUAUCCGCGGCUAGACGGAAAGACCCCGUGAACCUUUACUAUAGCUUUGCACUGGACUUUGAAUUUGCUUGUGUAGGAUAGGUGGGAGGCUUUGAAGCGUGGACGCCAGUUCGCGUGGAGCCAUCCUUGAAAUACCACCCUGGCAACUUUGAGGUUCUAACUCAGGUCCGUUAUCCGGAUCGAGGACAGUGUAUGGUGGGUAGUUUGACUGGGGCGGUCUCCUCCUAAAGAGUAACGGAGGAGUACGAAGGUGCGCUCAGACCGGUCGGAAAUCGGUCGUAGAGUAUAAAGGCAAAAGCGCGCUUGACUGCGAGACAGACACGUCGAGCAGGUACGAAAGUAGGUCUUAGUGAUCCGGUGGUUCUGUAUGGAAGGGCCAUCGCUCAACGGAUAAAAGGUACUCCGGGGAUAACAGGCUGAUACCGCCCAAGAGUUCAUAUCGACGGCGGUGUUUGGCACCUCGAUGUCGGCUCAUCACAUCCUGGGGCUGAAGCCGGUCCCAAGGGUAUGGCUGUUCGCCAUUUAAAGUGGUACGCGAGCUGGGUUUAGAACGUCGUGAGACAGUUCGGUCCCUAUCUGCCGUGGACGUUUGAGAUUUGAGAGGGGCUGCUCCUAGUACGAGAGGACCGGAGUGGACGAACCUCUGGUGUUCCGGUUGUCACGCCAGUGGCAUUGCCGGGUAGCUAUGUUCGGGAAAGAUAACCGCUGAAAGCAUCUAAGCGGGAAACUUGCCUCAAGAUGAGAUCUCACUGGGACCUUGAGUCCCCUGAAGGGCCGUCGAAGACUACGACGUUGAUAGGCAGGGUGUGUAAGCGCUGUGAGGCGUUGAGCUAACCUGUACUAAUUGCCCGUGAGGCUUGACCAUA
This 1399-nucleotide ribosomal RNA is filed under the name Pseudomonas sp. NFACC56-3. RNAcentral's name for it is "bacterial LSU rRNA". It matches the Rfam family "Bacterial large subunit ribosomal RNA", at positions 1551 to 2925 of the family's 2925-position model. Lineage: Bacteria; Pseudomonadati; Pseudomonadota; Gammaproteobacteria; Pseudomonadales; Pseudomonadaceae. The record is from RNAcentral. RNAcentral also lists the same sequence under 1 other name.